RNAcentral lists this ribosomal RNA (406 nucleotides) under uncultured bacterium. RNAcentral describes it as "partial 16S ribosomal RNA". It matches the Rfam family "Bacterial small subunit ribosomal RNA", at positions 30 to 526 of the family's 1533-position model. The record is from RNAcentral.
AUUGAACGCUGGCGGCAGGCCUAACACAUGCAAGUCGAGCGAGCGGCGGACGGGUGAGUAAUGCCUGGGAAUAUGCCUUAGUGUGGGGGAAAACUAUUGGAAACGAUAGCUAAUACCGCAUACGAUAAGAUUAGCCCAGGUGAGAUUAGAUAGUUGGUGAGGUAAGGGCUCACCAAGGCGACGAUCUCUAGCUGGUCUGAUAGGAUGUUCACCCACACUGGAACUGAGACACGGUCCAGACGCCUACGGGAGGCAGCAGUGGGGAAUCUUGCACAAUGGGCGAAAUCCUGAUGCAGCCAUGCCGCGUGUAUGAAGAAGGCCUUCGGGUUGUAAAGUACUUUCAGUAGGGAGGCGUUACCUACAGAAGAAGCACCGGCUAACUCCGUGCCAGCAGCCGCGGUAAUUC